AUUGAACGCUGGCGGCAGGCUUAACACAUGCAAGUCGAGCGGAAAGGCCCUUAUGGGUACUCGAGCGGCGGACGGGUGAGUAACACGUAGGAACCUACCCUCAAGUGGGGGAUAACCUAGGGAAACUUAGGCUAAUACCGCAUAAUCUCUGCGGAGGAAAGCUGGGGUGACCUGGCGCUUGGGGAUGGGCCUACGGCCUAUCAGCUAGUUGGUGGGGUAAUGGCCUACCAAGGCGACGACGGGUAGCUGGCCUGAGAGGGUGGUCAGCCACACUGGCACUGAGACACGGGCCAGACUCCUACGGGAGGCAGCAUG
Molecule: ribosomal RNA, 315 nt
Filed under: uncultured bacterium
Lineage: Bacteria
Description: bacterial SSU rRNA
Rfam family: Bacterial small subunit ribosomal RNA
Source: RNAcentral